AUGUCAAAAUAUAUAAAAUAUAUAUAUAUGCAAAAUAUAUACAGUAUUAUUGGAAAGGAAUAUGUAAAAAAUACAAAGAUACGCGUAAAUAUAUCUAUCAUAGUUCGUCUGCUGAAUUACAAGAUAGACGAAUACAUUUCGCCACUGCAAAACAUGGCUUUGAAGACUCAUUCUUUCGAUCCAGAUUGCAUAACAUUGACGAGAUUCGUACUUGCCGAACAACGAAAGAUACCAACCGCUAGCGGAGAUCUAAGUCAACUUCUAAACAGCAUACAAACUGCAAUAAAAGGAAUCAGUUCAGCAGUGAAAAAAGCUGGUAUUACAAAUAUGUACGGAAUAUCCGGAAAAAAAAACAUUCACGGAGAAGAAGUAAGAAAAUUAGAUAUAUUGAGCAACGAGUUGUUCAUAAAUAUGUUAACAUCUUCGUACACAACUUGCAUUCUUGUAAGUGAAGAAAAUGCAGAUGUGAUUGAAGUGGAGAUUGAAAAACGUGGAAAAUAUAUAGUAUGCUUCGAUCCUUUGGAUGGAUCCUCUAAUAUUGAUUGUGUAGUAUCAGUUGGUUCAAUAUUCGGGAUUUACAAGAAGCCGAAGGAAUUGAAAGAGCCUUUAAUAGCAAAUGUCCUCCAAUCUGGUAAAAAUUUAAUCGCUGCUGGGUUUGCACUCUAUAGUUCAGCAACUAUAUUAAUACUUUCGGUUGGCCACGGAGUUAAUGGUUUUACUUACGAUUCAGCGAUCGGGGAAUUUAUUUUAACCGACAAAAAUAUACAAAUACCUCCUAGAGGAAAUGUCUAUAGUAUUAACGAAGCACACGAAAAUUCUUGGAAUACAGCUAUCAAAGCGUACAUUCAUUCGAAGAAAUAUCCUAACAAUGGGAAAAUAUAUAAUGCUAGAUAUGUGGGUUCUAUGGUGGCUGAUGUGCACAGAACGUUAAAAUAUGGAGGAAUAUUUCUUUAUCCAGCAGUCAAAAGUUAUCCGCAAGGCAAGCUGCGACUUUUGUAUGAAUGUAUACCAAUGGCCUAUAUAGUGAAACAAGCCGGCGGCUUGGCAUCGAACGGAGAAAUUGAUAUCUUGGACGUAAAACCCAAAAAACUUCAUCAAAGAUCUCCAAUAAUUUUGGGAUCGCAAGAAGAUGUCCAAGAAGUUUUACAAUACAUUAAAAAAUAUAAAGAUAAUAAAUAGUGGAAAGAAGAAGAUAAUAAAACAUGGAAAAAAAUCCUCCAGGAGCAGGUCCUGGAGCUGGAUAAGUUGCUGUUCCUUCGUAUCGUACCAUGGGCCUGUAACCACCAUUGUCGGCGAUAUAAUCGACAAUUUGUGUUCUACCAUCUGGUAAUAAUACGUGAUAAGCUCCAGUUGCUUCGUUAUCUUUUCGUGAUUCGUGAUGGCCAAAAUUUAAUCCAGCUACUGCGUCCUCGACUUCAUAUGAAAAUUCGUAAUUUGCCGGAUCCUGAAAAAAGAGAGAAAAAAAAGAAAGAAGACGUGGAAAAGUAUUUUAUAUUGAUCACAGAUUAAAUUCUAAAGGAGAAAAAACUACUUACACCGACCCACUCGUCAGGGUGACCACCAGUAGCUGGACGUGUUCCUGUAGGUGGAAGAUAGGCAGGUCCUUGAGGUUCGCUCAAAAUUCCUACCGACAUUAUUGUUAACAAAAGUACCUGUGUAAAAAAAAAUCUUUUGCAUUUCUUUCAAUCCAAAAAGAAUGCAUUACUUGUGAGUUGUUUAAAAAAAGGUUUAAAAAAAUUAAAAGAUAUUUCGUCGAAAUGA
Apis dorsata (giant honeybee) is the source of this 1761-nucleotide RNA transcript. It is a transcript of the gene named fructose-1,6-bisphosphatase 1, with no coding region annotated. The transcript has 7 exons. NCBI's taxonomy places the organism in Eukaryota, Metazoa, Arthropoda, Insecta, Hymenoptera, Apidae. The record is from RefSeq and is a predicted model, not a curated record.